AGCCGGCGUGACCGCCUGGGACAGGAAGGAGCGCGCUUGGCACCGACACCGCGGCCUUGCUCAUGCUGCACAAGUUCGAGUCCUGGCCAUGGAGCGAAGGCCGGGGCACGGGACGAGACCUAGUUGGGCUGCAGAGACCUGCCUCAGGGCGUCCCCGCGGGAAUACAAGCUCCAUGAGCACAGGGACCUUGUCUGCAUCGCUUGAAGUGGUGUGGCCAGGGCCUUGGCGGGUGCUGGGGACACAGGAGAAACUCAGUGGGCACUUGUUACCUGGGCAGGCUUGCUGGCCCCUGGGGGAGACAG
Long non-coding RNA from Phyllostomus discolor (pale spear-nosed bat), 303 nucleotides. RefSeq lists it as uncharacterized. The record is from RefSeq and is a predicted model, not a curated record. The transcript has 2 exons. NCBI's taxonomy places the organism in Eukaryota, Metazoa, Chordata, Mammalia, Chiroptera, Phyllostomidae.